This 460-nucleotide ribosomal RNA is filed under the name uncultured bacterium. RNAcentral's name for it is "partial 16S ribosomal RNA". It matches the Rfam family "Bacterial small subunit ribosomal RNA", at positions 338 to 795 of the family's 1533-position model. The record is from RNAcentral.
CCUACGGGAGGCUGCAGUGAGGAAUAUUGGUCAAUGGACGAGAGUCUGAACCAGCCAAGUCGCGUGAAGGAUGAAUGCCCUAUGGGUUGUAAACUUCUUUUAUAUGGGAAUAAAAUGUUCCACGUGUGGGAUUUUGUAUGUACCAUAUGAAUAAGGAUCGGCUAACUCCGUGCCAGCAGCCGCGGUAAUACGGAGGAUCCGAGCGUUAUCCGGAUUUAUUGGGUUUAAAGGGAGCGUAGAUGGGUUGUUAAGUCAGUUGUGAAAGUUUGCGGCUCAACCGUAAAAUUGCAUUUGAUACUGGCAGUCUUGAGUACAGUUGAGGUAGGCGGAAUUCGUGGUGUAGCGGUGAAAUGCUUAGAUAUCACGAAGAACUCCGAUUGCGAAGGCAGCUUACUAAACUGCCACUGACAUUGAUGCUCGAAAGUGUGGGGAUCAAACAGGAUUAGAUACCCCUGUAGUC